UACGUUUACGCCGGCGCUCCUACUUGCUGAGAUACCUAGGUCUCCAUCUCAGCUGAGCCAGAAUGCGUACAUGGAGGAACGUGAUGACUUCGAUUAGGCGGCGUUACGCGCGUCAUUAGCUGAUGAGCGGCCUGUGAGGAAUUUAGAUGGACCCAGGAUUCUUGACUUCGAUGACUUUUUAAUCCCGGAUUCGGCCCCAGUAGGUUCACAAGAGCGACCCACUCAAGCAUUUUCUCAUGGGCCUACCGAGCCAACAGUGUCUUCCCAUGUGACUGUCGAGCCACAGGAUUCGGCGCCAGUGGGUCCACAGGAGCGACCCAUUCAGGAACCUACUCAUGAGCCUGCCGAGCCAGAGGUGUCUUCUCAUGAGACUAUCGAGCCACAGGUAAGCUUUUUACUUUAAAUCAAUUUUAUUCAAUAUAAGGUGAAUAUUAACUUAAUAUUUUUAACCUUUAUUUAGACCUCGAACAGCAUCUGGUCCAGGAGACUACAUCAUAUUCAGCACCAGAUCCAUCUCAGGAGCCUACAGACCCACCUCAGGAGCCUACUCAGGCGCCCGUUGAUACACAGGUUUGAUUAUUCAACAAACGUUAAUGUAUUCAAUUGAAUAAAUACGAAAUGGUACUAAUUAUUAUAUAUUUUGCAGGUUCAUCCUUCGGCGUCUGCGGUGGC
Lycium ferocissimum is the source of this 672-nucleotide long non-coding RNA. RefSeq lists it as uncharacterized. The transcript has 3 exons. The record is from RefSeq and is a predicted model, not a curated record. Lineage: Eukaryota; Viridiplantae; Streptophyta; Magnoliopsida; Solanales; Solanaceae.